RNAcentral lists this ribosomal RNA (340 nucleotides) under uncultured bacterium. Its description in RNAcentral is "bacterial SSU rRNA". It matches the Rfam family "Bacterial small subunit ribosomal RNA", at positions 9 to 346 of the family's 1533-position model. The record is from RNAcentral.
GAGUUUGAUCGUGGCUCAGGAUGAACGCUAGCGACAGGCCUAACACAUGCAAGUCGAGGGGCAGCGGGGAGUGGCAACACUCCGCCGGCGACCGGCGCACGGGUGAGUAACGCGUAUGCAACCUGCCCGCACCAGGGGGAUAACCGGGAGAAAUCCCGUCUAAUACCGCGUAACGCCUUAAGGGGGCAUCCCCAUGAGGCCAAAGGGUUUCCGGGAGCGGAUGGGCAUGCGUGACAUUAGCUAGUUGGCGGGGUAACGCCCACCAAGGCGACGAUGUCUAGGGGUUCUGAGAGGAAGGUCCCCCAAUUGGUACUGAGACACGGACCAAACUCCUACGGGA